RNAcentral lists this microRNA (23 nucleotides) under Mesocestoides corti. Its description in RNAcentral is "mco-miR-745-3p". Its record names the gene mco-miR-745-3p. Lineage: Eukaryota; Metazoa; Platyhelminthes; Cestoda; Cyclophyllidea; Mesocestoididae. The record is from miRBase by way of RNAcentral.
CCGGUUCUUAUCUGGUUAUCAUG